RNAcentral lists this ribosomal RNA (253 nucleotides) under uncultured bacterium. RNAcentral describes it as "partial 16S ribosomal RNA". It matches the Rfam family "Bacterial small subunit ribosomal RNA", at positions 524 to 776 of the family's 1533-position model. The record is from RNAcentral.
UACGUAGGGGGCAAGCGUUGUCCGGAAUCAUUGGGCGUAAAGCGCGUGUAGGCGGCUCGGUAAGUCUGCUGUGAAAGUCCAGGGCUCAACCCUGGGAUGCCGGUGGAUACUGUCGAGCUCGAGUCCGGAAGAGGCGAGUGGAAUUCCUGGUGUAGCGGUGAAAUGCGCAGAUAUCAAGGAGGAACACCAUGGCGAAGGCAGCUCGCUGGGACGUGACUGACGCUGAGACGCGAAAGCGUGGGGAGCAAACAGG